UUUUCAGNUGAACGCUGGCGGCAUGGCUAAAGCAUGCAAGUCUGGGAGAACCUUCGGGGGAAACCGGCGAAAGGGCGAGUAAUGCGAUCGAACGUACCCCAAUGUGGGGGAUAGCGUCGGGAAACUGGCGGUAAUAUCCCGUGUGCUCUACGGAGGAAGUUGGGAGCGGCGAUCGUCCUAUCAGGUUGUUGGCGGGGUAAAGGCCCACCAAGCCGAAGACGGGUAGCGGGUUUGAGAGCAUGGCCCGCCGCAUCGGGACUGAGACACUGCCCGGACUCCUACGGGAGGCUGCAGCGACGAAUCUUCCGCAAUGCGCGAAAGCGUGACGGAGCAAUGCCGCGUGUAGGAUGAGGGCGCUCUGCGUCGUAAACUACUGUCAGACCCUAGAACCAACGAUCAGGGUCAGAGGAAGGGCCGGCUAAACUCGUGCCAGCAGCCGCGGUAAUACGAGUGGCCCAAGCGUUAAUCGGAAUCACUGGGCUUAAAGCGUGCGCAGGCGGACCUUCAGGCGUCCCCGUGAAAUACCCCGGCUCAACCGGGGAAUGGCUGGGCGAACCGUUGGUCUUGAGGCAGGUAGGGGGGUGCAGAACUGUUGGUGGAGCCGUGAAAUGCGUCAUAUCCUUCGGAAUGCCCAAGGCGAAGGCCG
This 646-nucleotide ribosomal RNA is filed under the name uncultured bacterium. RNAcentral describes it as "bacterial SSU rRNA". It matches the Rfam family "Bacterial small subunit ribosomal RNA", at positions 21 to 724 of the family's 1533-position model. The record is from RNAcentral.